Molecule: long non-coding RNA, 1024 nt
Organism: Zingiber officinale
Lineage: Eukaryota; Viridiplantae; Streptophyta; Magnoliopsida; Zingiberales; Zingiberaceae
Exons: 4
Source: RefSeq, a predicted model, not a curated record
UUUAAUUAACUUAAACAUAAGUAUUUAAGUGUUUUUGAAAACCUAAGUUCCCUAAUUUCCCCAUCCGAUCCUUUCUUCCUCUCUCGCUCGAUCCGCCGCACACCUACACUUUCCUCUCUUGCGCCGUUGCCCGACCAAGCCACUCCAUGCCACCAAUCGCGCCACCACCUCCCUACAUCGAUCGUCGACUGUGCAGCACCGCUCCUCGCCGGAGCAAGUUACGAUCGUGACCAGUGCCGCAUCGCCUACCCUCAGAUCCCGACGUUGUCACCGCACCGCGAUCCGCCCGGUGCUGACCGCCGAGCUUCCUCAGUGAUGCCAUCGGCCAUCGCAGCGCCACCUAGCGUCAAUUUUCCCUCUUCGCACCUGCGAUCCAUAGCUAUUGAUCCACCGCCGCUGGUUGACCAUCGACAUCGCUUUCUGCUUCUCGCGAUAACGUUGUUGCAUCAUCUUCUUCUCCAUCGAGUUGUCUCGCAUAAGAUGGUCCUCAACCGGGGGGAUCCCAUGCCCUAGCUUCACCGCUGCUCUUCGCUGGAAUCGCUCCAAUCGAAGCUACACCGACAUUGCUACCCUCUCAGCCGAUCUUCUGCCAUCCGCGCCGUGCCCUAGCUCCGAUGUAUCGCCAACGCUGCUGCGCCAUCUCACAGUUGUUGUUGCCCUUCGAUUGUGCUGAGCACCCGAGCCAGUAACAGCCCUUACCAGCUCCACUGUCCUACUCGCGUCGCCAUCACCAUGUGUCGAUCGCCGGUGUUGCCUUUUGACCACACAAGUAGCCGACGUUGAGUGUGUUCAAGCCAGCUACCACCGAGAGCAGAUUAGCUCUGUGCUCUUGUACUAUUGAGCUGUUCGUUGUAGAUCCGUUCAUCAUGGCAUCCCUGAUCCUGCAUCGAGCAGCUACAAAGCUGGAUUGUGGUAAGUUUGGGAAGGUGAUAGAUUAAGAGCAAUGUUUUGUUGAGGGUUAGGCAUUUGAUCGUUUCCUGCAUUAUCAGGGUAGCAGGUAAAGGAUUUAUGGAGUCGCCUGGAG